GUGUGUGUGUGGGGGUGUGUGUGUGGGGGGAGGCUCGCGGCUUUGGGGCUGGGCGCUGGGGAGGGCGUAGGGGUUCCGCCUUCUUCGGGUGAGGCUGCUCGGGGACAGCCCGGGUUCUGGGUGUGGUGAAGGGCGGCGGUUUGGGGAGGUGGCCCGGCACUUGCGAGAGCGCGAGGGGUGGGGACUGUGGUCUCCGAGUUAAUCAUGAGGUUUCCGAGAGGUUCGGUUCAACCUGCCUUCUCCCAGGACUUUUGCCUUGUCCCCGAAUCGCCACAUUUAGACAGACGAGCUCCACCCCCAUCCCGGAGAUCCCCGAUCUCUGACCCGCCAGUAGGGGAUUUGGAACCGUAUGCGGCGAGUGCAUUGGUGUCCACGCAGGUCCACGGCCUCGAUUUUCCUCUACAACCAGACUGUUGUCCUGAGUGUCCUCAGAAAAGUCCAGCCCAUUCUGACUUCUGUGUCCUUGCAUAGUUCCAGGGAGCUGAAUUGGAUCCAAACAAACAGGUCUAAGAGGCCUCAGGGAGUUCCGUACAGCCUGGACUGCAAUGAAACAACCAGCUACCCUAGGACGUGGCAGCACCCCAACCUUCUCGGGUCCCCCAAAGAUGUUCAAGGCCCCCCACGUCAGCAGGAAGCAGUCUUGAGAAUUCGACGCCCUUAUUCCUUAACCUGCCACGUUAACACCCCACCAUUUUAAAAUAAUAAGUAGAGGUGGGAAUGAAAGGUUCAGGCUUUGACGCUGAUCGGCUCUACCUCUUUAAGAGACAGACCCUGUUCCCUGACAACAGUCAGGGCAUACACAAAAAAAUGUGCUACAUCAUCACCACAUCACCCACCACGCAUGAGGACUCUGGG
Molecule: long non-coding RNA, 855 nt
Filed under: Cricetulus griseus (Chinese hamster)
Lineage: Eukaryota; Metazoa; Chordata; Mammalia; Rodentia; Cricetidae
Description: lncRNA (ENSCGRG00015021619.2)
Source: RNAcentral